UGAACGCUGGCGGCGUGCCUAAUACAUGCACGUCGAGCGAACAGACGAGGAGCUUGCUCCUCUGACGUUAGCGGCGGACGGGUGAGUAACACGUGGAUAACCUACCUAUAAGACUGGGAUAACUUCGGGAAACCGGAGCUAAUACCGGAUAAUAUAUUGAACCGCAUGGUUCAAUAGUGAAAGACGGUUUUGCUGUCACUUAUAGAUGGAUCCGCGCCGCAUUAGCUAGUUGGUAAGGUAACGGCUUACCAAGGCAACGAUGCGUAGCCGACCUGAGAGGGUGAUCGGCCACACUGGAACUGAGACACGGUCCAGACUCCUACGGGAGGCAGCAGUAGGGAAUCUUCCGCAAAGGGCGAAAGCUUGACGGAGCAACGCCGCGUGAGUGAUGAAGGUCUUCGGAUCGUAAAACUCUGUUAUUAGGGAAGAACAAAUGUGUAAGUAACUAUGCACGUCUUGACGGUACCUAAUCAGAAAGCCACGGCUAACUACGUG
RNAcentral lists this ribosomal RNA (495 nucleotides) under uncultured bacterium. Its description in RNAcentral is "partial 16S ribosomal RNA". It matches the Rfam family "Bacterial small subunit ribosomal RNA", at positions 30 to 507 of the family's 1533-position model. The record is from RNAcentral.